Molecule: small nuclear RNA, 103 nt
Organism: Nycticebus coucang (slow loris)
Lineage: Eukaryota; Metazoa; Chordata; Mammalia; Primates; Lorisidae
Source: RefSeq, a predicted model, not a curated record
GCGCUGGCUUUGGCAGCACGUAUACUAAAAUUGGAAUGAUACGGAGAUUAGCCUGGCCCUGUGCAAGGAUGACAUGUAAAUUCGUGAAGCAUUCCAUAUUUUU